This 220-nucleotide long non-coding RNA is filed under the name Elaeis guineensis (African oil palm). Its description in RNAcentral is "long non-coding RNA (EGUI_LNC061372)". Lineage: Eukaryota; Viridiplantae; Streptophyta; Magnoliopsida; Arecales; Arecaceae. The record is from RNAcentral.
ACAUCCUUCUUUCGCCUGAGAGCUUAGCCGCUCAGCCACUCCAUCGGUGCCCCUUCCGACUCCGAGCAUCUUUCGCGUCGGUCUUUGCCAUCUCUGCCGGCUUUCCACUGCUUCCGGUCCCCCGAGUCUCUCCAAGGGGUUCCCCCGCUGGGGCCUCCGCCCUGGAGGCCAAUCUCAAGAUGAUGUCACAGACUAAGAAGAGUGCAAGGAGGAGAACAGC